UUGGAGCACAUAUAGACAUUUGCUAGGUGGU
This 31-nucleotide non-coding RNA is filed under the name Rattus norvegicus (Norway rat). Lineage: Eukaryota; Metazoa; Chordata; Mammalia; Rodentia; Muridae. The record is from RNAcentral.